GAUGAGCGCUGGCGGCGUGCUUAACACAUGCAAGUCGAACGGGAAUUACUUUAUUGAAACUUCGGUCGAUUUAAUUUAAUUCUAGUGGCGGACGGGUGAGUAACGCGUGGGUAACCUGCCUUGUACAGGGGGAUAACAGUCAGAAAUGACUGCUAAUACCGCAUAAGCGCACAGGACCGCAUGGUCCGGUGUGAAAAACUCCGGUGGUAUAAGAUGGACCCGCGUUGGAUUAGCUUGUUGGUGUGGUAACGGCCCACCAAGGCGACGAUCCAUAGCCGGCCUGAGAGGGUGAACGGCCACAUUGGGACUGAGACACGGCCCAGACUCCUACGGGAGGCAGCAGUGGGGAAUAUUGCACAAUGGGGGAAACCCUGAUGCAGCGACGCCGCGUGAAGGAAGAAGUAUCUCGGUAUGUAAACUUCUAUCAGCAGGGAAGAAAAUGACGGUACCUGACUAAGAAGCC
Molecule: ribosomal RNA, 463 nt
Filed under: uncultured bacterium
Lineage: Bacteria
Description: bacterial SSU rRNA
Rfam family: Bacterial small subunit ribosomal RNA
Source: RNAcentral